AUACGGAGGGUGCAAGCGUUGUUCGGAAUCACUGGGCGUAAAGGGCGCGCAGGCGGUUUUACAAGUCAGAUGUGAAAGCCCACGGCUCAACCGUGGAAGUGCAUUUGAAACUGUAAGACUUGAGUAUCAGAGGGGAAGGUGGAAUUCCCGGUGUAGAGGUGAAAUUCGUAGAUAUCGGGAGGAAUGCCGGUGGCGAAGGCGACUUUCUGGCUGAAUACUGACGCUGAGGCGCGAAAGCGUGGGGAGCAAACAGGAUUAGAAACCCUAGUAGUCC
Molecule: ribosomal RNA, 274 nt
Filed under: uncultured bacterium
Lineage: Bacteria
Description: partial 16S ribosomal RNA
Rfam family: Bacterial small subunit ribosomal RNA
Source: RNAcentral